Molecule: unclassified non-coding RNA, 351 nt
Filed under: soil metagenome
Description: partial contains 5.8S ribosomal RNA, internal transcribed spacer 2, and large subunit ribosomal RNA
Rfam family: 5.8S ribosomal RNA (bases 1-120)
Source: RNAcentral
GAUGAAGAACGUAGCGAAAUGCGAUAAGUAAUGUGAAUUGCAGAAUUCAGUGAAUCAUCGAAUCUUUGAACGCACAUUGCGCCCGCCAGUAUUCUGGCGGGAAUGCCUGUUCGAGCGUCAUUACAACCCUCAGGCCCCCGGGCCUGGCGUUGGGGAUCGGCGGAGCCCCCCGUGGGCACACGCCGUCCCCCAAAUGCAGUGGCGGUCCCGCCGCAGCUUCCAUCGCGUAGUAGCUAACACCUCGCGACUGGAGAGCGGCGCGGCCACGCCGUAAAACACCCAACUCUUCUGAAGUUGACCUCGAAUCAGGUAGGAAUACCCGCUGAACUUAAGCAUAUCAAUAAGCGAGGA